Molecule: ribosomal RNA, 394 nt
Filed under: Crematogaster vacca
Lineage: Eukaryota; Metazoa; Arthropoda; Insecta; Hymenoptera; Formicidae
Description: partial 12S ribosomal RNA
Source: RNAcentral
UAAACCUAGGGAUUGAUACCCUAUUAUUUUAAAUUAAAGUUAAUAAUAUUGGAGAAUAAAUGUUAAAUCAUUAAAUUUAAAUAGUUUGGCGGUAUCUUAUAAAAUUAGAGGAAUCUGUUGAGUGAAUGAUAAUCCACGAUAGGAGGGUCUUAAUAUUUUUUUAUGUAUUGUUGUUUAAAUAUUAGUUUAGAAGAAUUUAAUAGAAGUUUAAAAUUUUUAUAAAAUAAUUCAAAUCAAAAUGUAGAAUUAUUAAGUUUUAAUGGAUUACAAUUUAAUAUAUAUUAUUGGAGUUUAAAUUUUAAUUAUUUAGAUGAAAAUGGAUUUAGUAGUAAAUUUAUAAAAUAUUAUAGGUUGAAAUUUACAUGAGAUAUGUACAAAUUGCCGGUCAUUUUAA